UCCUGGUUAACCCAGGCAGUCUCGUUAGAGUUCCCACCUUCACGUGUUGGCAACUAACGAUAAGGGUUGCGCUCGUUGCUGGACUUAACCAAACACCUCACGGCACGAGCUGACGACAGCCAUGCAGCACCUAUAUAGAGACCCUUUCGGGAAACAUCAUCUCUGAUGUCGUCCUCUACAUUUCGAGCCCAGGUAAGGUUCUUCGCGUUGCAUCGAAUUAAACCACAUGCUCCACUGCUUGUGCGGGCCCCCGUCAAUUCUUUUGAGUUUCACCCUUGCGAGCGUACUCCCCAGGCGGCAUACUUAAUGCGUUAGCUCCGAUACAGGGGGGGGUUGAGCCCUCCUACAUCUAGUAUGCAUCGUUUAAGGCAUGGACUAC
This 379-nucleotide unclassified non-coding RNA is filed under the name uncultured Chlamydiales bacterium. RNAcentral's name for it is "contains 16S-23S intergenic spacer region". The record is from RNAcentral. Lineage: Bacteria; Pseudomonadati; Chlamydiota; Chlamydiia; Chlamydiales.